GUUCUCGUCGCCGACCAGUCCUUGCCGUCUUUUCCUUUCUCACAGACAAACAGAAGGAGGUGGAGUAAAAGGAGAAAGCUUCUCCAAUGGCGGUCGCAUCGAGAAACCUCAUUUCUCAUCUCCGCAUCUUCUUAUCGUCCAAAGUUUCAGAAACCCAGUUCAGAACCUUCAGUGCUUGCAGUAGCCAAGUCGACGAAUUAAGGACUCGGAUCAUCGAAGGAAAACCUGGAAUCAUGACUCCAAACUCCAAACGGACUGGAGCAAUUGCUAUCAAAUGUGGAAUGACUGCUCUAUGGGACAAAUGGGGGGAACGCGUUCCCAUUACCAUCCUUUGGUUGGAUGAUAACAUUGUUUCUCAGGUCAAAACACCGGAGAAAGAAGGCAUAUCUGCCCUACAGAUUGGAUGUGCUCACAAAAAGGAGAAGCAUUUGACAAAACCUGAAGUAGGUCAUUUUAGAGCACAAGGUGUGCCCAUGAAGAGAAAGUUGAAGGAAUUUCCUGUUACCGAAGAUGCCCUUCUUCCUGUUGGAACGAGCAUCAGUGUCAACCAUUUUGUUCCAGGCCAGUAUGUGGAUGUUGCUGGAAUUACAAGAGGGAAAGGUUUUCAGGGCGGGAUGAAAAGAUGGGGAUUUAGCGGUAUGCCUGCAUCACAUGGUGCUUCAUUAUCCCACAGAAGUAUUGGUUCUACAGGUCAAAGAGAUGCUCCAGGAAAGGUAUUUAAAGGGAGAAAAAUGCCUGGACGCAUGGGCGGAGUGCAACGAACUGUUAAAAAUGUUUGGGUCUACAAGAUUGAUCCUGCCAGAAACUUGAUGUGGGUUAAAGGCCAGGUUCCUGGAGCUGAAGGUAACUUUGUGUUCAUCAAAGAUUCUGUGUACAAGAAACCAGAUAUUUCAACGCUUCCAUUUCCCACUUACUUUGCCCCAGAAAAUGAAGAUCAAGCAGAUUUGGAACCAUUAGUGGCUGAUCUUGGUGAUACAGACCCUUUUAUGGCUGCUGAUUAAUAUCUAGCUGUGACCAUGGCAUUUUGUGUCUUUACCUUUUUUAUUUCUUCAACAAGCAGCAGUGAAGUGGUAGUGUUUUAGAAGGAAUUUAUUCGUAAUAGUGUUUGACAGUUCUCUGGCUGAUGGUACUCUAAUUUUGAGUUGUACUACAAAAUAUCUACUUCUUGUUGGAUAGGGUGAAAUUUAGCUACCUCUUCCAGAGAAAUUGUACAGACACAAACUAAUUAUGUUGUUGCUGGAUAAUAACAGAAAUGUGAUGAAUGGAG
RNAcentral lists this unclassified non-coding RNA (1267 nucleotides) under Hevea brasiliensis (rubber tree). The record is from RNAcentral. Lineage: Eukaryota; Viridiplantae; Streptophyta; Magnoliopsida; Malpighiales; Euphorbiaceae.